This 2400-nucleotide long non-coding RNA is filed under the name Mytilus galloprovincialis (Mediterranean mussel). Lineage: Eukaryota; Metazoa; Mollusca; Bivalvia; Mytilida; Mytilidae. The record is from RNAcentral.
GUCUCCCUAUACAGAAUGUUUCCUGUUCCAGGUUUUUUGGCUCAUUCAUCGCCAGCAAAGAAGAAAAAAGAUACAAUUCUAUAUUUAUUUAAAAUUUAUUAUCACAGAAAAAGAUAAUGAAAGACUUGGUAGUCUGCCACCCAGUUAAUGGUCAUGAUUUAAUACAACAAUAUGUGGAUUUUAUUCCAUAAAGCCUCAGUUAUCAUUGAACAUAAUUAUACAUUUAAUCUCAAUUUCAAUACAAUUAUGUCGUAGUGUAAGAUAUAUCCUCCAGUAUGAGUACAAUCAAAUUAAGGCUCUUAUCAACCAAUAAAUAAUACAUAUUUAUUUUAUAACACAUGCUACUGAUAUACAGACGAUUACAAUGAGAUUAAAACAAAUGCAUACACAUUUUAAUAAAAGCAUAGCCUGAAAACUGUUCAUUACUUUGGGUUAUGUUCACUUGAGUCUAUUAUACCUGGUAUCUUAAAGAAUAUAUAGUAUCAUUUAAGAUUCUAUGAAAAAUCCUCUAAAAUUUAUGAAAAAUCAAAAAGACAUUGAAAUUGACGUUGCUAUAGCAUUUGAAAAGUAUUAUUGACUCUGCAUGAAUAUGUAUUAGGUCAAAGAAACAUAACUCCAGAAAUAAGUAACUAACAAAAUUAUACCUCCAUAUCACAACAUGCCUCACAUCAACUUUGACAAGUGUAUAUUUGGUGAACAACAAAACUCUAACUUGGAAUUCCUUUUAAAGUGUUUGCAUCAUAAUUAUUUGGUGAAUUUACAAGAUUUAAUUUAUCAAAUGUUGUAAAUAGUUUCAAAUUAGGGUGUUUAUUGGAAUUAAUCAUUACAGAGUAUAAAGUCUAUCACUUAUUGUGUUUAUGAUUUCUUUGACCUGGAAAACUACAAAUUAAUAAAAACCAACAAACUAGAGGCUCUCAAGGAAGUACACCACUAAUUCAUGGUCCCAUUGCUUACUUUGUUAAAUUCCUCCAUUUCAAGCAGUCAAACCUCUCUUGUUUUAAGUUCAAAUAAAGUGAAACUUGAAAAAUCAUAAGAUUAUAUUGACCAAGAGCUAUGUUGUACCAUAUACAAGUCAUAAAAUACAUGUUUUAUUGAUUUCAAUCACAAAAAAAUGCAAAAAUAAGAACUUGGAGACAAGUCUUAACUGCAUGCAUGUUGUAUGACCAUAAAAGGCUAAAAUACUUGAGUAUGCCAAUUUAAGAGCUUAAAUUUCCCAUAAACAGGAUGUUUCACCAAAAAAAGAUGAUUAAAUAUAAUUACUAACAGCAAAUUUGACUUAUUUUCAUUGGAAUAGGUACAACUUCUAAAUCAAAAAAUCAAAGAGCUGAAUAGCUCUGAGGGGAAAGACAGCCCUUUUUUUUGGGGGGUGGGGUGGGGGGGGGGAAGGUAUCUUUUGAUAGUCUUCAUAUAAAGAAUAAAAAAAAAACAGCUAGAACAUGUAGAAAGGUUGACAAUAUUGAAGUCAAUUGUUGUUGUUUAAUCUAAUUUUGUUUCCUUGGUUAAGGAUUCAAUUUGGACCAAGAGAUCUGCAUCUUCUAAAUCUAAACUUUCGAUUAAAGUUGAUAGUUAAUUAUGUAAAAUUUAACUGAUUUCUGUCAUUUAACAACAACUUCAAUGUUUUCUGAAAUCUUAAUUGUGUACCACUGAACUGCAGGCUAGACCAUUUUCCAUUUUUUUUUUACAGUACACUGAGAUUUUAAAUUUUUUUCUUAAGAAAGUUAGGACUGAAAAAUCCAUUUAAUCUUAAAUUUCCAUUGACAAAGUUCCCAGUUACAACUCUCAUCACAGAGAUACAGGUACUAAUAAAGAAUAAUAUGAUUGAUGUAAACUGUGUGAAGCUUGUUUCCAGAUCCUACAUUUUGAAAUAUUUGUAAAUUUCAUGAAAAAAAAGGUUUAAACAAUAAAAUGCAACUUCUUUUUAUUUAUUUUUUUUUACCAUUACGAUGAUUUAUUUGUUGGAACACACAAUUUAGUUUUAAUGGAAGACUACUAAUCAUAUACUAAAUGUCACAUUUUCAAGUUUUAUUUUAGUGGAUAAUUACUCAUCAAUUGAGGUGCUCCAGAUUUGGAAGAAGAUUCACAAAACAGAAUUUUACAGAAAAAAGGAGAAAAAAUCGUUUCUCUCCCCAAUCUCAUGUAUCUCCACGAACUUUGUUUACUUUGAAAGUUGUUGACCUACGAAUUAAAGUUUUGCAUGUUGAUGUUUGAAUCAUCUACAGCAAACAUAAUUAUGUUUAAAUUUAACAAAUAACAAUUUAUAAUUAGUGCACGAACUCUGAGAAUGAUUUAAAUAACCAGUGAAGGAUAUCCCUGCUUCUGCAUGGUGUGGCAUUCCAAUAAUGACGUCAUUAUAAAAUAUAAUGUAGGUUGGAUAUAUUUAGAAUAUCUUGUCAUACUGAU